This 471-nucleotide ribosomal RNA is filed under the name uncultured bacterium. RNAcentral's name for it is "partial 16S ribosomal RNA". It matches the Rfam family "Bacterial small subunit ribosomal RNA", at positions 28 to 507 of the family's 1533-position model. The record is from RNAcentral.
GACGAACGCUGGCGGCGUGCUUAACACAUGCAAGUCGAACGAUGAAGCGGUGCUUGCACCGUGGAUUAGUGGCGAACGGGUGAGUAAUACGUGAGUGACCUACCUUUGACUCUGGGAUAAGCCUGGGAAACUGGGUCUAAUACCGGAUACGACCAAUCUCUGCAUGGGGUGUUGGUGGAAAGCGUUAUGGAGUGGUUUUAGAUGGGCUCACGGCCUAUCAGCUUGUUGGUGAUGUAAUGGCUUACCAAGGCGACGACGGGUAGCCGGCCUGAGAGGGUGACCGGCCACACUGGGACUGAGACACGGCCCAGACUCCUACGGGAGGCAGCAGCGGGGAAUAUUGCACAAUGGGCGCAAGCCUGAUGCAGCGACGCCGCGUGAGGGAUGACGGCCUUCGGGUUGUAAACCUCUGUUAGCAUCGAAGAAGCGAAAGUGACGGUAGGUGCAGAGAAAGCGCCGGCUAACUACGUG